CUCCUUUUGUAGUUCAUAAGCAUGACGAUUAGGUGUUCACACACAGGUGUGAGAUGUGCCAUCCUGAAACAUUGUUACAAUGUCGGCAUAUUACCUGUCUGACA
Small nucleolar RNA from Macaca fascicularis (crab-eating macaque), 104 nucleotides. The record is from Ensembl. Lineage: Eukaryota; Metazoa; Chordata; Mammalia; Primates; Cercopithecidae.